GCAUGGAGGCAAAGCAUUUAUAAUUCCGUUUGCAAAAACGUAGACCUGCUACCCUUAAUCAACAUCAGUAUAAAAGAGCCAAUCAUUUUCACACAUCUGAGUAAGAGACUCAAAUGUAAAAGUUAUGUUAUACAUCAUGGAGAGACAUAAUACAGGUUUGUGCAUCAAUUUGUCAGGCAUUUACAAUAUCACAAAACCAGGGGAAAUAAUAAAUGCAGUGUUGAAAUGUAUUGGGUUAAAUAUUUAGAAAUAAAACAUUUAGAAACGUAUAGAAGCAUAUUCACGCUCCUUUCCAGUAGGUGGCGGAAUGACCCUGAUCAGCUAAUCACAACGCGCCUGUAAAACCCACGAAGAAGACGAAAACGAAAGUAUCUGAGCUAAAUAAGAAAACACAAAGGCUGCGUUCGGAACCGCAUACUUCUCUACUAUAUAGUAGGGGAAAAGCAGUAGGCGAGCGAAUAAGUAUGUCCGAAUCCUUAGUAUUCAUAAAAGAGUAGGCGAGAAUUAGUAGGCAAAAGCACUAAUUCUCGCGAGAUUCAGACGUACGUCUACUUAAAGUGCGUCCGAAUAUGCCUACUAACCUACUAUAUAGUAGGCAAAAAGAGUACGUGAAGAAAGAAAUACGUUUGAAAGCUAAAAGAGUAGGCGAGAAAUCCCCUGAUGUCCUACUGCUUCAGCCCAGAUUCUGGAGUGUUCAUCGAUGGAUACUUUCAAUCCCAGGAGUCCACGGGAGAGCAAUAUGUCAUUAUCGAACGUGAUUGAGAACCGCGACGAAGGGACAGAUGAGACACACAUCUGUGUACCCAGUGUAGAGUGACGGAUAAAGGAAUGUGGCCAUCAAAGGCUUUGAAUCUUUUGUGGUGGAGCAGGACCUGCAAUUAAUGGUGACAUUUGUGGGGGAAAAAAGGAAAACCUGAUCUAAAAUAUAAAACUGGUAAGAAAGGAGAAAUCCACAGCAGCAUCCUGGAAAUGGUCUAGUGCCGUGGAUGAGAUCCUCCAUCACUCCACCUGCCCUUGUUCCCUCAUCUGGACCAGAUGUUGCUGUGGCCUCUUCAUCCUCAGUGAGCUCAGAG
Long non-coding RNA from Labeo rohita (rohu), 1073 nucleotides. RefSeq lists it as uncharacterized. The transcript has 4 exons. Lineage: Eukaryota; Metazoa; Chordata; Actinopteri; Cypriniformes; Cyprinidae. The record is from RefSeq and is a predicted model, not a curated record.